GCUGGAGGACUAAGAAAGUGGAGCCGGUGACGUUAUAUUGGCUCCACUGAUACUAUCCUCCUAAAUUAAACGGUGGAAGAGCAAGGCCUGCCUGUGAGAUAAAGUCGGGACCUACUUCCUCUACCUACAAGG
This 132-nucleotide small nucleolar RNA is filed under the name Anas platyrhynchos platyrhynchos (common mallard). RNAcentral's name for it is "Small Cajal body specific RNA 4 (ENSAPLG00000027470.1)". It matches the Rfam family "Small Cajal body specific RNA 15". Rfam says of the family: scaRNAs are a specific class of small nuclear RNAs which localise to the Cajal bodies and guide the modification of RNA polymerase II transcribed spliceosomal RNAs U1, U2, U4, U5 and U12. ACA45 belongs to the H/ACA box class of guide RNAs as it has the predicted hairpin-hinge-hairpin-tail structure, the conserved H/ACA-box motifs and is found associated with GAR1. The record is from RNAcentral. Lineage: Eukaryota; Metazoa; Chordata; Aves; Anseriformes; Anatidae.